GGGAAGGCAGGGCGAAGAGGCGCCGGAGCAAUGGCCGAUCGCAGCGCCAGGAGGGCUCCGAGAGCGGAUCUCGCCCCUUUCCCCUUGGAAGAAAAUUACCAUGAACUGAAUGGCUUGAUCCAAUAGACACCUGUUCUCUCACAGUCCUGGAGGCUAGAAGGUUGAAGACAAGGUACUGGCAAGCAUCAUCACCCCAAUCUCUGCCUCUGCUAUCUCAUGAUUGUCUUCCCCCUGUGAGUACAUGUGUAUAUCCAAAUCUCCUCCUAAGAGGACAACCAUCGCUGGAUUUAGGGCUCAUCUUCAUCUGAUCACAGCAGCAAGUAAGGAGGCAGAUGCAAUGUCUGGAGACGUAUCAGUGCUAUUAUGACUGGGAAAAUGAAAGACAUAUGCUGAGAAGAGUGAAGAAAGAAGAUAGGAUUCUUGGUGAUGUCAUUGAGUCAUACAAAAACUGGACUGGAGGAGUCCUUAUUAAAUGAAAGAAGAGAGAAAAAAAAAAUACUGGACUUCUUUAAACUCUUGUAGGGUUCUCUAUUACAUGGAACACAAACCUGA
Odocoileus virginianus texanus is the source of this 552-nucleotide long non-coding RNA. RefSeq lists it as uncharacterized. NCBI's taxonomy places the organism in Eukaryota, Metazoa, Chordata, Mammalia, Artiodactyla, Cervidae. The record is from RefSeq and is a predicted model, not a curated record.